This 252-nucleotide ribosomal RNA is filed under the name uncultured bacterium. RNAcentral's name for it is "partial 16S ribosomal RNA". It matches the Rfam family "Bacterial small subunit ribosomal RNA", at positions 525 to 775 of the family's 1533-position model. The record is from RNAcentral.
ACGUAGGGAGCGAGCGUUAUCCGGAAUUACUGGGCGUAAAGGGCGCGUAGGCGGAAUGACAAGUCAGCAAGUGAAAGCGUGGGGCUCAACCCCAUGAUGCGGCUGAAACUGUUAUUCUAGAGGCAUGGAGAGGCAAACGGAAUUCCCGGUGUAGCGGUGAAAUGCGUAGAUAUCGGGAAGAACACCAGUGGCGAAGGCGGUUUGCUGGCCAUGAACUGACGCUCAUAGCGCGAAAGCUAGGGUAGCAAACGG